RNAcentral lists this ribosomal RNA (201 nucleotides) under uncultured bacterium. RNAcentral's name for it is "partial 16S ribosomal RNA". It matches the Rfam family "Bacterial small subunit ribosomal RNA", at positions 326 to 538 of the family's 1533-position model. The record is from RNAcentral.
ACGCUCGACACCUACGGGAAGCAGCAGUGGGGAAUAUUGCACAAUGGGGGAAACCCGUGAUGCAGCGACGCCGCGUGAGCGAAGAAGUAUUUCGGUAUGUAAAGCUCUAUCAGCAGGGAAGAAAACUGACGGUACCUGACUAAGAAGCACCGGCUAAAUACGUGCCAGCAGCCGCGGUAAUCUGAGCGGGCGUGGCAAGGC